RNAcentral lists this ribosomal RNA (252 nucleotides) under uncultured bacterium. RNAcentral's name for it is "partial 16S ribosomal RNA". It matches the Rfam family "Bacterial small subunit ribosomal RNA", at positions 524 to 776 of the family's 1533-position model. The record is from RNAcentral.
UACGUAGGGAGCAAGCGUUGUCCGGAAUCAUUGGGCGUAAAGCGCGCGUAGGUGGCCCCAUAAGUCCGCUGUGAAAGUCAAAGGCUCAACCUUUGAAAGCCGGUGGAUACUGUGGGACUAGAGUACGGAAGAGGCGAGUGGAAUUCCUGGUGUAGCGGUGGAAUGCGCAGAUAUCAGGAGGAACACCAUAGCGAAGGCAGCUCGCUGGGACGUUACUGACACUGAGGCGCGAAAGCGUGGGGAGCGAACAGG